RNAcentral lists this ribosomal RNA (115 nucleotides) under Candidatus Pelagibacter sp. Lineage: Bacteria; Pseudomonadati; Pseudomonadota; Alphaproteobacteria; Candidatus Pelagibacterales; Candidatus Pelagibacteraceae. The record is from RNAcentral.
CCUGGUAAUUUUUGCGUAGGUGUAACACCCGAUACCAUUCCGAACUCGGAAGUUAAGCCCUUCAGCGCCAAUGGUACUUUGUCUUAAGGCAUGGGAGAGUAGGACGUUGCCAGGC